This 494-nucleotide long non-coding RNA is filed under the name Vulpes vulpes (red fox). RNAcentral describes it as "lncRNA (ENSVVUG00000010436.1)". The record is from RNAcentral. Lineage: Eukaryota; Metazoa; Chordata; Mammalia; Carnivora; Canidae.
UGUAUUAAAUGUCUAAUUAUUUGAACUUUUAAAUGAGAUUCUUUAUUAAAAUCCAGCUAUAUUAUAUCCGUAGGACCUAUGCUAGCCAUGGAAACUUCAGCCAACUUGCUAUGCAUUUAUCUAACAGUACCGGGAUGGAUGGGCAAUAUAGUUAUAAGGAUCAUAUGGAGUUGCAAUUUGAAUUUUUAGGAAGGUCACUGUGGUAGGAGCUGCAGAGGGAAGAGGAGAGUUUGAUAAAAAGAUAAUGAGAUCUGCUUUGAUGCAUUCUUCCUGAAAAUGUUGAUGAGAAAUGAAGAUGAAGAUGCACACACCAAAUGUUGCACCACUUAUUUUGGUGACUUUUAAAGAAUGGCAAUGGGAAGACAGAUGACCCAUGAGACCUUUUGAAGGAGAAUUUGGCGUUUGGACCAAGAAUGUUGAAACGAUUAGAUUUGAAAAGAGCUUCUACCCUAUAGUUGCAAAUUUCUUUUUUAAUAAAGAGGAAACAAGGCACA